GACGAACGCUGGCGGCGUGCCUAAUACAUGCAAGUAGAACGCACAGUUUAUACCGUAGCUUGCUACACCAUAGACUGUGAGUUGCGAACGGGUGAGUAACGCGUAGGUAACCUGCCUGGUAGCGGGGGAUAACUAUUGGUAACGAUAGCUAAUACCGCAUAAUAUUAAUUAUUGCUUGAUAAUUAAUUGAAAGGUGCAAUUGCACCACUACUAGAUGGACCUGCGCUGUAUUAGCUAGUAGGUGAGGUAACGGCUCACCUAGGCGACGAUACAUAGCCGACCGGAGAGGGUGAUCGGCCACACUGGGACGGAGACACGGCCCAGACUCCCUCGGGAAGGAGCAGGAGGGAAUCGUCGGCAAUGGACGGAAGUCUUACCGAGCAACGCCGCGGGAGUGAAGAAGGUUGUCGGAUCGUAAAGCUCGGUUGUAAGAGAAGAAAGGGUGUGAGAGUGGAAAGUUCACACUGUGACGGUAUCUUACCAGAAAGGGACGGCUAACUACGUG
RNAcentral lists this ribosomal RNA (505 nucleotides) under uncultured bacterium. RNAcentral's name for it is "partial 16S ribosomal RNA". It matches the Rfam family "Bacterial small subunit ribosomal RNA", at positions 28 to 507 of the family's 1533-position model. The record is from RNAcentral.